UCCCUGGUGGCUUAGAGGGUAAAGCAUCUGCCUGCAAUGUAGGAGUCCCGGGUUCGAUCCCUGGGUCGGGAA
RNAcentral lists this transfer RNA (72 nucleotides) under Bos taurus (domestic cattle). It matches the Rfam family "tRNA". Rfam says of the family: Transfer RNA (tRNA) molecules are approximately 80 nucleotides in length. RNAcentral also lists the same sequence under 3 other names. Lineage: Eukaryota; Metazoa; Chordata; Mammalia; Artiodactyla; Bovidae. The record is from Rfam by way of RNAcentral.